CUGAGAGGGCUGCUAAGAAGGUUACUCCGAUAUAGUAAACAGUGAGAGAAUUUCUUCCUCAGU
Molecule: transfer RNA, 63 nt
Filed under: Schistosoma indicum
Lineage: Eukaryota; Metazoa; Platyhelminthes; Trematoda; Strigeidida; Schistosomatidae
Description: tRNA-Ile
Source: RNAcentral